GAGAGUUUGAUCCUGGCUCAGGACGAACGCUGGCGGCGUGCCUAAUACAUGCAAGUCGAGCGGACUUGAUGGAGAGCUUGCUCUCCAGAGAGUUAGCGGCGGACGGGUGAGUAACACGUAGGCAACCUGCCUGUAAGACGGGAUAACUAGCGGAAACGUUAGCUAAUACCGGAUAAUUUAUAUUCUCCAUGGGGAGAUAAUGAAAGACGAGCAAUCUGUCACUUACGGAUGGGCCUGCGGCGCAUUAGCUAGUUGGUGGGGUAAUGGCUCACCAAGGCGACGAUGCGUAGCCGACCUGAGAGGGUGAACGGCCACACUGGGACUGAGACACGGCCCAGACUCCUACGGGAGGCAGCAGUAGGGAAUCUUCCGCAAUGGACGAAAGUCUGACGGAGCAACGCCGCGUGAGUGAUGAAGGUUUUCGGAUCGUAAAGUCUGUUGCCAGGGAAGAACGUCCGUUAGAGUAACUGCUAACGGAGUGACGGUACCUGAGAAGAAAGCCCCGGCUAACUACGUGCCAGCAGCCGCGGUAAUACGUAGGGGCAAGCGUUGUCCGGAAUUAUUGGGCGUAAAGCGCGCGCAGGCGGCUA
RNAcentral lists this ribosomal RNA (590 nucleotides) under Paenibacillus motobuensis. Its description in RNAcentral is "bacterial SSU rRNA". It matches the Rfam family "Bacterial small subunit ribosomal RNA", at positions 8 to 581 of the family's 1533-position model. Lineage: Bacteria; Bacillati; Bacillota; Bacilli; Caryophanales; Paenibacillaceae. The record is from RNAcentral.